This 510-nucleotide ribosomal RNA is filed under the name uncultured bacterium. Its description in RNAcentral is "bacterial SSU rRNA". It matches the Rfam family "Bacterial small subunit ribosomal RNA", at positions 32 to 517 of the family's 1533-position model. The record is from RNAcentral.
AAUCAACGCUGGCGGCGUGCCUCAGACAUGCAAGUCGAACGCGAAAGUCCCCUUCGGGGGACAAGUAGAGUGGCGCACGGGUGAGUAACACGUAGGUAAUCUACCUUCGGGUGGGGAAUAACGCAGGGAAACUUGCGCUAAUACCGCAUAAUGCAGCGGCACCACAUGGUGACGGUUGUUAAAGCGGGGGAUUUUCGGACCUCGCGCCUGAAGAGGAGCCUGCGGCAGAUUAGCUAGUUGGUAAGGUAACGGCUUACCAAGGCGACGAUCUGUAGCCGGCCUGAGAGGGCGGUCGGCCACACUGACACUGACAUACGGGUCAGACUCCUACGGGAGGCAGCAGUCGGGAAUUUUGGGCAAUGGGCGAAAGCCUGACCCAGCAACGCCGCGUGAAGGAUGAAAUCCCUCGGGAUGUAAACUUCGCAAGAAUAGGAAGAAUGAACGAGCGCUAACACCGUUCGUGAUGACGGUACUAUUUGUAAGCUCCGGCUAACUCCGUGCCAGCAGCCG